GAUGAACGCUGGCGGCGUGCCUAAUACAUGCAAGUCGAGCGAACAGACGAGGAGCUUGCUCCUCUGACGUUAGCGGCGGACGGGUGAGUAACACGUGGAUAACCUACCUAUAAGACUGGGAUAACUUCGGGAAGCCGGAGCUAAUACCGGAUAAUAUAUUGAACCGCAUGGUUCAAUAGUGAAAGACGGUUUUGCUGUCACUUAUAGAUGGAUCCGCGCCGCAUUAGCUAGUUGGUAAGGUAACGGCUUACCAAGGCAACGAUGCGUAGCCGACCUGAGAGGGUGAUCGGCCACACUGGAACUGAGACACGGUCCAGACUCCUACGGGAGGCAGCAGUAGGGAAUCUUCCGCAAUGGGCGAAAGCUUGACGGAGCAACGCCGUGUGAGUGAUGAAGGUCUUCGGAUCGUAAAACUCUGUUAUUAGGGAAGAACAAAUGUGUAAGUAACUAUGCACGUCUUGACGGUACCUAAUCAGAAAGCCACGGCUAACUACGUG
This 497-nucleotide ribosomal RNA is filed under the name uncultured bacterium. RNAcentral's name for it is "partial 16S ribosomal RNA". It matches the Rfam family "Bacterial small subunit ribosomal RNA", at positions 28 to 507 of the family's 1533-position model. The record is from RNAcentral.